AUUUAUUAAAUAAGUGAUCUUUCUUUUAGUUAACUUUUCGACUUCUCGUCUUCUAAUGGUCCGUUUGCCAUCAGGGCAGAAUAUUUAAGUAAAUAAUGAAAGUCGGGCUGGUAAGUAAUCUUGAGUUUAUAUCGAGCCGAACAUGACCGACUCAUGACUCAUGAAUAAUAAGCUAGAUUGUCAGUCCUAGUUGUAGGAAUUCGAACACCUCCUCAUAUCUGUAAAGAGAUCAGAAUUUUUGUUUUUGAGAGAUAGGUAGCACGCUACCGAUCUUGUUUAUUUCAUUUAGAAAAUAAACUUAGCUGAAAACAUGAAUCAACUAGAAUUCGAAUUUAGAAUUCCGAAUACCAACCACUAAAUUUUUUGCCACUUGCUAUAGGGUGGAUAAGAAAUCAGAAUUUUGACUUC
RNAcentral lists this long non-coding RNA (408 nucleotides) under Ananas comosus (pineapple). Its description in RNAcentral is "long non-coding RNA (ACOM_LNC022962)". The record is from RNAcentral. Lineage: Eukaryota; Viridiplantae; Streptophyta; Magnoliopsida; Poales; Bromeliaceae.